GGCCAGUGUGAGUUGAGGCAGAGACCUCUUCAGCACCGCCCCGAGACUUCAUCGGAUCAGGUAUGUAAGGAGACUCCUGAAUGAGACACCUUGCAAGAUCCAACCAGAGGAAAAAUCUAGAAAUAAGAGAGAACCACCCCCCCUAAAAAUACCACAAUCCUGCUCUGACAGAGGGACCUCAGACAAGCCCAGGAGCACACUCACAAUUAAUUAAACAAGGCCCUGUAUGGAUCGAACUGUGAUACAGAUACAUCAGAAGUUUUCUGAAAGAAAAGAAAAAGGUCUGUUUCCCAGCUCAGCCUCUGAGGUCUUGCUGCAUGCAUGUUCCUUGUCUAUUCCUAUCAGGCUUUGGAGACCUCUGAAGCUGCAUGGGCCACAGAAAGGCAGCAAUUUGCUCAAGGACAUGGAGGGCAGCGGUGAUGGAGCUGCAGAGGAAUCCUUGUUCCACCAGUUCCAGGCUGGUGAACCUGGGAAGAGAAAAGCAGCCGCUGAUUUAAUGGUGUGCAACGGGCUGAGACAAAGAGUGAAGCACCUGACUGUGUGAGCUGCAAGUAUGCCUGGCAAAAUGCAGGUGGUCAAAAUAGGUUGUGUGGGCUUGCAAUGCAGAGAAAUGGGGGAAAAACCUGUAUAUCUCCUGCCCACUUGUGAGUCUCACGCUUUCUCUGUUCUAUCUUUUAAAUACCUUUCCUUUGACGCCUGUGUAUUUGAUUAUGGAGAACAGUUUUGCAAGAUGGUGCACUGAAGCAAGCAGAAGCAGAGCUGUCAUAUUUGAAAGCUCCCUAACAGGCUCCAGUAUAGACCACUGUGCCAGAGGCAGGGCCAGAUACACAGGACUGGCAGUGGUGACAAAGACAGCUCUCUGCUUCUCUUGCCAGAAGAGUCCACGGUUUCUGAGAAGUGGAUAGGACGUUUCUUAUGGAUUUCACAGAAGGGCUGGGCUGUCUCAGGUUGGUAUGAAGGAGCUUUCCAGCUGCACAGAGAG
Molecule: long non-coding RNA, 982 nt
Filed under: Struthio camelus australis
Lineage: Eukaryota; Metazoa; Chordata; Aves; Struthioniformes; Struthionidae
Description: lncRNA (ENSSCUG00000018119.1)
Source: RNAcentral